GUAAAAUUUUUCCAGGAUUUCACAAGAUAUAACUGUAAUAUUUCACAGUUAAUUACAUUAUUACCACUUCACAGGCUUUAACUGUGAUCAUUCACGAUAUAAUACCGUAUUUAGACUUUUACUGUGAAAAUAAUGCAGGCGCGGGGCUUUUACAAGAAACUACUGUGAAUGCCGUCUUUUUUGAGUGGCAACUGCGGCAGCGUCAUCAGAGCGUCAUCAGAGCUCUCUGAUCUACGUGGUCUCAUUCGGUGGAUUCAGACAGCGGUAAGUGUUUAAAUGUCAAACUUUAUCAAUUUGAUGUUUUUUAUAUGAUAGUGCAUGUAAUUUAAAAGUAUGAACCAAAUUAGCGUUAGUUGUAGGUUCUGUUGUCAUGUUUUUGUAACCUAGCUGGAGCAGACUCGCAUCAACGUUUAAGCGCGCAAAUUUGAAUGACAAGACGUUGGUUGUAGUGUUAAUUAUACCGUAUUAAGUUAACUGUGAGAUGUCUGAUUAGAUACACCGUCGAACAUUUAACUUUAGCUUUACUUAAAGCUUAUCUUAGUUACUCUAACAGCGUUCUCUCUUUUACCACAGCAUUUUCUACAUUGACCGAAGAUAAAAAAAAAAAGUUAUAAGGUGCUUCUUGGGCAUCAACCCAGAGACGGGCACAAAAUCUAAGAGGGAGAGAGGUCACAUGAACCAGCAAGUCUGCACUCUUAUCAGGAAGCUCAUUGACUUCGAAUGGAUGUCAAUCUAAUUGGAUAGAACCCACACUAUGCAGGUGCCAGCUGCGAGGGAAGGAGAGAGACACCUGCGACCCUCUCUAUUCCCACCUUUUUGUCUUUUCUUACAUCUCUCUCCCUCACUCUCUCUUCUCUGUCUCCUUCUUUCUCUUUUGACACACAUUCCUGUUACCCAGUGUCAAUCCCUGUUGCCCAGUGUUUUAUUCAUGUAAUUAAAUUGUAUUUUACUUCUAAAAAAUAAAAGUUAUGUCACUGUUUUUAUCA
Molecule: long non-coding RNA, 986 nt
Organism: Carassius gibelio (silver crucian carp)
Lineage: Eukaryota; Metazoa; Chordata; Actinopteri; Cypriniformes; Cyprinidae
Exons: 3
Source: RefSeq, a predicted model, not a curated record